AGGCCCUGUUCCUGGAGUUAAUCUAGAAAAGAAACAUUUUAAAAUUGUAGAAAAUUACUCCUUUGAAGAUUUAAUUUCAAUUAAACAUGAAGUGAUACAUCAAAGUGGGGAAAAGGCCCCCGGGGGGUGGGGUGGUGUUAUUUGGGUUUGUACUGUUCGGACAAAUUGCAGGAAAUUUGGGUAGAUGAAAACAUCUAGUUCUACUGAAGGAGCAUUAAAAUUAUGGUUGGAGGGGCAGUACAAUUAAUGGUGAGCAUUUGUUUCAUCAUAUGUUUAAUCGUUAAUGAAUGC
RNAcentral lists this unclassified non-coding RNA (291 nucleotides) under Hevea brasiliensis (rubber tree). The record is from RNAcentral. Lineage: Eukaryota; Viridiplantae; Streptophyta; Magnoliopsida; Malpighiales; Euphorbiaceae.